ACAGAGCACACCAGGGAUCACAGUACGGAGCACAUCAGGGCACACUGACUGAACUGGUCAAUGAAAAUCCAAGAGCACAACUAACAUCGCAGGGGAAUGAACAUACCAACGAGUUGUCUCCUUUCAAGAGGAAUGUGCUUAAACUUCUCAUGGAAGUUAAGGCAGAGCUAAAAGAGCAGAGAGCAAUGAUACAAAACUUACAGGGAGUGCCUGCUGUACCUGAUCAGGAAAUAAGAUGUGGCUUGCAGU
Pimephales promelas (fathead minnow) is the source of this 249-nucleotide non-coding RNA. NCBI's taxonomy places the organism in Eukaryota, Metazoa, Chordata, Actinopteri, Cypriniformes, Leuciscidae. The record is from RefSeq and is a predicted model, not a curated record.